Rattus norvegicus (Norway rat) is the source of this 3499-nucleotide long non-coding RNA. RefSeq lists it as uncharacterized. NCBI's taxonomy places the organism in Eukaryota, Metazoa, Chordata, Mammalia, Rodentia, Muridae. The record is from RefSeq and is a predicted model, not a curated record.
UCUCACCCGGUCUUACAGGAUUUCUGCGUUAUUCAAAUGGGCGUACUAAAAUAAUGUGAAUACAAUGUGGGCUCCGAAGCGCUGAAGGGGAGGGUUAAUGAAACUGCUAAUAUAGAAAGCAAACGUGGGACCAGCUGCUCCAGAGUGCACGUGAAACCAUUUUCCCUCACAAGGAGCAGAAGCUUUGGGACAUAAGCAAACAGCGAUGUGGGUCCUUAGACCUCAAGAGGUUAAGUGGAGAGGGGAAAGAAACUCUGAUAUGGUAUUUCUUGGCUCGCUGACCAACUUCGACCUUCUAUCUGUGUGAGUGUGGGAUUAACAUGAGCUUCUGCUUAGGGGAGUCACCUAUGAAAAUAAGAAAACAAAUGUGCGCAUUUGUAGCUCCAACUGGAGAAGGCUGGAAAAAAGAUACCAAAGCACCUGCUACUGGUGCCAUUAUUAUGGACGAAUAUGAGAUAAAGAGAUGGAAACAACGGGGUAUGCAGUAGAAAGAUGGACCAGAAAGCAGAGCCAAGAGGUAUUGGCCAGCUGUUCUGCUACUCUACAGAGUACUGGGCUGAAGAAAAAUGAUCUCAACAGACUGGAGGUAUCAAUGAAAUGUAACCCAAUAAAGCUUGAUUCUGAGGGGAGAGAAUGAAGGUCCUGUCUCCUUAAUAAGCAACAAAAAAUGGAAAGUUUCUGCAUUAAUUCUUCUCCUCGAAUGAUCCCUCAAGAAGAAAACUUGCCUCCCAGAAGUGCUGACACACCUGAGAGCACAGGUGAGACCACCAUUUCUGCUCACAUUACUGGCCCAAGAGGAACCCUCACAGAGCUCUCUGGACAUAGGAACUGAGGAACAGUCUGGAACAGGAUCCUUCCUGUUUCCAACUGCACCUGGAGCUGACCCUGUGCCACAGAAAGCUGGUCUCCCAAGAGUGUUGACACAUCUAAGAGCACAGGUAAGACUGCUACUUCUGCUCUAAGGGACCUGCCCAGAACCCUCAAGACACAGGAAUUGAGGAGCAGUCUGGGACAGGAUCCUUCCAGUUUCUCUCUGCACCCUGACCUGACCCAGUGCAAGAGGGUCAUCCCUGAGAGAGAUUCCCCCUGAGAGAGAGCUGGUUUCUGAGUAGUGCUGACACACAGGCUUACAGGAUGGUCAAGCCACAGUCAGAGACAGCAAGAACAGCUAACAUUAGAGAUAAGCAUGUGGGAAAGGGCAAAAGAAGAAGCAAGGGCAAAAACUUAAGCAACACAAACAAAGGCUACUGGGCAUCAUCAAAACCCAGUUCCCCCAACACAGCAACACCAGAAUACCCAACCUACCAGAAAAGCAAUAUUUUGAUUUAAAAUCACAAAUCAGGAUAAUGUUAGAUUACAUUAAGAAUGACAUAAAUAACUCCCUUAAAGAAAUGCAGGACAACACAGGUAAACAGGUAGAAGCCCUUAAAGAGGAAACACAAAAAUGAACCAAACAGGUGAAGAAAUUGAAUAAAACCAUCCAAGAUCUAAACAUGGAAAUCGAAGCAAUAAAGAAAUAACAAAGAGAAACAAGUCAGAAAACAGAAAACCUAGAAAAGAGAUUAGGAGUGAUAGACAAGGGGUUGGGGAUUUAGCUCAGUGGUAGAGUGCUUGCCUAGGAAGCGCAAGGCCCUGGGUUCGGUCCCCAGCUCCGAAAAAAAGAAAAAAAAAAAAAAAGCAUUCCGAACAGAGUACAAAAGAUAGUAGAAAGAAUAACAGGGGCAGAAAAUACCAUGGAAACAUUGAUACAAUAAGCAAAGAAAAUGCAAAACCCAAAAGGCUCCUAAUCCAAGAAAUCUAGGAUAUAAUGACAAGAUCGAACCAAAGGAUCAUAGGUAUAGAAGAGAGCAAAGAUACCCAACUUAAAGGGCCAGUAAAUAUCUUCAACAAAAUUAUAGAAUAAAACUUCCCUAACCUAAAGAAAGAGAUGCCCAUGUAAUAUAUAAAGGCAGACUUAUCAGAAUCACACCAGACUUCUCAACAAAGACUAUGAAAGCUUGAAGAUCCUAGGCAGAUGUCAUACAGAACUUAAGAGAACACAAAUGCCAGCCCAAGCUACUAUAUCUAGCAAAACUCUAAAUUAAUGUAGAUGGAGAAACCAAGAUAUUCCAUGACAAAACCAAAUUUACAGAAUAUCUUUCCAAAAUCCAGCCCAGAAAAUGAUAAUAGACAGAAAACUAUAAAACAAGGAGGGAAACGACACCUUAGAAAAAGCAAAAAAGUAAUCUUCCUUCAACUAACCCAAAAGAAGAGAGCCACACAAGCAUAAUUCCACCUCUAACAACAAAAAUAAGAGAAAGCAAAAUCACUAUUCUUUAAUAUCUCUUAGCAUCAAUGGAUUCAAUUCCCCAAUAAAAAGACAUAGACUAACAGACUCAAUAUGUAAAGAGGAUCCAGCAUUUUGCUGCAUUGAGGAAGCACACCUCAGGAGCAAAGACAGACACUACAUCAGAGUAAAAGGCUGGAAAACAAUAUUCAAAAACAAAUGAUCUCAAGGAACAAGCUGGAGUAUCCAUUUUAAUAUCCAAUAAAAUCAACUUUCAACCAAAACCUAUCAAAAAAAUAAGGAAGGACACUUCAUCUUCAUCAAAGGAAAAAUCCACCAAAAUGAACUCUCAAUCCUGAAUAUCUAUGCUCCAAAUGCAAGGACAUCUACAUUCAUAAAAGAACCUUACUAAAGCUGAAAGCACACAUUAUACCUCACAUAAAAAUAGUGGCAGACUUCAACAACCCACUCUCAUCAAUGGACAGAUCAUGGAAAAAGAAAUUAAACAGAGACAUGAAGAAACUAACAGAAGUUAUGAGCCAAAUGGACUUAACAAAUAUUUAUAGAAUGUUUCAUCCUAAAACAAAAGGAUAUACCUUCUUGUUAGCACUCACGGUACCUUCUUCAAGAUUGACCAUAUAAUAGGUCACAAAACAGGCCGAAACAGAUAAAAAGAAGGUUGAAAUAAUCCCAUAUAACCUAUCAAAUCACCAUGGACUAAGGUUGGACACCCCAAUGUUAGAAAAUGUUUGAGGGGGAAUUAAAAAGGGAGAAUAGAUGGGGAGGGGAACACCCUUAUAGAAGAAAGGGAGGGGGAAGGGAUAGGGGACUUAUGUCCUGGAAACUGGGAAAUGAAAUAACAUUUGAAAUGUAAAUAGCAAAACAUUCACUAAGGAGGGAAACUAUACCCUAGAAAGAAAGAGAAAGUAAUCUCCUUGCAACAAAAAAAAAAAGGAGAUACAAACAUAAUUCCAAAUCUAACAAUGUAAAUAAUAGAAAGCAACAAUCACUACUCCUUACUAUCUAUUAAUACCAAUGGACUCAAUUCCCCAACAAAAAGGCAUAGAUUAACAAAUUGGGUAUGUAAGGAGGACCUAGAAUUUCUGCAUACAAGAAACACAGCUCAGAGACAAAGACAGACACUACCUCAGUGAAAAAGGCUGGAAAAAAAUUUCCAAGCAAAUGGUCCAAAGAAACAAACUGUAAAUAGUCAUCAAAAAAGAUGAGGAAGGA